This is a long non-coding RNA of Lathyrus oleraceus (garden pea), 553 nucleotides long. RefSeq lists it as uncharacterized. NCBI's taxonomy places the organism in Eukaryota, Viridiplantae, Streptophyta, Magnoliopsida, Fabales, Fabaceae. The record is from RefSeq and is a predicted model, not a curated record. The transcript is spliced from 2 exons.
CGAACUUUAUUUCAUGCAAAAACAAGUUAAGAGAUAAGAAAUAAAAUAUAGUGGUAUGGAAAGAACUUGUGCUUCAUUUGUUCUAGCUGUUCUUGUAGUAGCAAUACUGAUUCUGAAUGGCUAUAAUGCUGCUAAGAGUGUAGAAACCGGUAUCCAACCUAAGAAAGCAGGAGUAGACGGAGAUGAUUGCUUUGGGGCAGAAUGUUUUACUUUUGACUGUUACGCAUUUUGUUCAAAAAAAGGCUUUACUGGCGGCGCAUGUGUAACGCCAUUAUUUUGUUGUUGCGGUUGAGGAGUUUGAGAGAUCUAUGUUUGAUAACUGUACAACUGUAUCAACAAAAUAGUCUUUAAGGUUCUUAUUAAAAGAAGUUGGAAGAACACUAUUGUAAGUUCAAUUAGGAUGUAAUUUCCAGUAUUAAGAAUUGCCUGCAACAAAGUAAAACAGACUUGCAUUUUUCCAGAUGAUGUCACAUACAUGAUUAGACAAACAAUCUUGAUUGUUGUGUAAUAAUGUGAUUUUACAAAAUCAAACAAUUAAUAAAGGUUUAAUUCA